This 69-nucleotide transfer RNA is filed under the name Marmota monax (woodchuck). RNAcentral describes it as "tRNA.Thr". Lineage: Eukaryota; Metazoa; Chordata; Mammalia; Rodentia; Sciuridae. The record is from RNAcentral.
GGAAUUGUAGCUCAGUGGUAGAGUGCUUUCUUAGUGUGUUUGAGGUACUGGGUUUGAUCCUCAGCACCA